AGAACGAACGCUGGCGGCAGGCCUCAAACAUGCAAGUCUAGGGGGUGUAGCAAUACAUCACCGGCGGACGGGUGCGUAACGCGUGGGAAUAUACCUAUUGGUUCGGAACAACUGAGGGAAACUUCAGCUAAUACCGAAUGUGCCCUAACGGGGAAAGAUUUAUCGCCAAUGGAUUAGCCCGCGUUCGAUUAGCUAGUUGGUGGGGUAACGGCCCACCAAGGCGACGAUCGAUAGCUGUUCUGAGAGGAAGAUCAGCCACACUGGGACUGAGACACGGCCCAGACUCCUACGGGAGGCAGCAGUUGGGAAUCUUGGACAAUGGGGGAAACCCUGAUCCAGCCAUGCCGCGUGAGUGAUGAAGGCCUUCGGGUUGUAAACUCUUUCGCGCACGACGAUAAUGACGGUAGUGCGAGAAGAAGCUCCGGCUAACUCGCGCCAGCAGCCGC
This 446-nucleotide ribosomal RNA is filed under the name uncultured bacterium. RNAcentral describes it as "SSU rRNA". It matches the Rfam family "Bacterial small subunit ribosomal RNA", at positions 26 to 518 of the family's 1533-position model. The record is from RNAcentral.